GCUGCUUCCUGUUGUCAGUGGCCGAGAGACCGCAUCGUCGGCUCGGAGGCUGAGGGGCUGCCGCAGCCGGGAGCCCCCCUCGCCUCGCUCCUCGCUCCGCUUGGUGUCAUGUGAUUCUCUGAGGGAGCAGCUGCGUGAGUGGAGAUGCUUUCAGUGGUGGAGAAUGGACUGGACCCCCAGGCUGCCAUCCCGGUCAUCAAGAAGAAGCUGGUGGGAUCCGUGAAAGCCUUGCAAAAGCAGUACGUGUCCCUGGACAUGGUGGUCACUAGUGAAGACGGAGAUGCCAACACCAUGUGCAGCGCCCUGGAGGCCGUAUUUAUCCAUGGCCUGCACACCAAGCACAUCCGAGCUGAGGCCGGAGGAAAAAGGAAGAAAAGUGCCCACCAGAAGCCUCUGCCCCAGCCUGUCUUCUGGCCCCUCCUGAAAGCUGUCACCCCCAAACACAUCAUCUCAGAGUUGGAGCACCUGACGUUUGUCAACAUGGAUGUGGGCCGCUGCCGGGCAUGGCUGCGGCUGGCCCUGAACAAUGGCCUGAUGGAGUGCUACCUGAAGCUGCUGCUGCAGGAGCAGGCCCGCUUGCAACUACAGCGGAAGGAAUCUCUGGAUUCCAUUUCCCAUUCUUCAGGCUCUGAAGACAUCGAAGUCCAUCACUCGGGCCAUAAGAUACGGAGGAACCAGAAGCCGACUGCCUCCUCCCUCAGCCUGGACACGGCCAGUUCAUCCCAGCUGUCCUGCAGCCUAAACUCUGAUAGCUGCUUACUCCAAGAGAAUGGCUCCAAGAGUCCAGACCAUUGCGAGGAGCCCAUGUCCUAUGACUCAGACCUGGGCACAGCAAAUGCUGAGGACUCAGACCAGUCUCUGCAAGAUGUGGGUCAGAGUCUUCGAAUUUGCUAUCCUGAAGAUGCUUCAGUACAUCCUGAAGAUUUACUUCCUGAAAAUGAAUGCUCUAGGACCCUGAAGGUUGUGACUGUGCACCUGCCAACUCAAGCUGAAGGCUGAAGAGGAAAGCUCUGCAGCCCCUUCCUCAAGCUGGAGGCAGAGUGACGUCUGCUGGGGAUGCAGGCUGUGCGCCCCACAGGACUCCAGAGUGGCACUAAGCAUGUUGAGUUCACUCCUGCCCAUGGUCUAGCUUCUGCUUUGCAGGCUCAGGCAUCUUAUCUUGCCAGGGCCUCAAAGCUGGUGGGACAGAAUAGCAUCUUUGCUCACUAAGCUCUGACCCACCGGCCUCCUUGCAGCUCUGUAGUCCAAGCGAACUCCUUCCAACAUCAGGCUUCUUUGAAAAAAAAAUUUUUUUUUGAGGCAGAGUCUCACUCUGUCACCCAGGCUGAAGUACAGUGGUGCAAUCUCAGCUCACUGAAACCUCCGCCUCCUAAGUUCAACUUAUUCUUAUGCCUCAGCCUCCCAAGUAGCUGGGAUUACAGAUGCCUACCACCAUGCCCAGCUAAUUUUUGUAUUUUUACAAAAUUAUGGGGUUUCACCAUGUUGACCAGGCUGGUCUCAAACUCCUGGCCUCAAGUGAUCUGCCCACUUUGGCCUCCCAAAGUGCUGGGAUUACAGGCAUGAGCCACCGUGCCCGGCCCAGCUUCAGGGUUUUACAUUUGCUGUUCCUUCUUUCCCGACUCACUUCAUUGUUGUCUCAGCCUUCCCUGACCGGACCCCCGUAGCUCAAAAGCACCAUCCCCAGUGACUCUCUGUCCCAUUCAUCUGCUUGACUUCGCUUAUAACACUCAUCACUAUGUGCAAUUACAGUAUAUUAUCUCUUUGU
Homo sapiens (human) is the source of this 1765-nucleotide long non-coding RNA. The record is from Ensembl. Lineage: Eukaryota; Metazoa; Chordata; Mammalia; Primates; Hominidae.